UACGUAGGUGGCAAGCGUUGUCCGGAAUUAUUGGGCGUAAAGGGCGCGUAGGCGGAUAAUUAAGUCAGAUGUGAAAUAUGCGGGCUUAACCCGGAUCUGCAUCUGAAACUGGCUAUCUUGAGUGCAGGAGAGGACAGUGGAAUUCCUAGUGUAGCGGUGAAAUGCGUAGAUAUUAGGAGGAACACCAGUGGCGAAGGCGGCUGUCUGGACUGUAACUGACGCUGAGGCGCGAAAGCGUGCGGAGCAAACGGGAUUA
RNAcentral lists this ribosomal RNA (256 nucleotides) under uncultured prokaryote. RNAcentral describes it as "partial 16S ribosomal RNA". It matches the Rfam family "Bacterial small subunit ribosomal RNA", at positions 524 to 780 of the family's 1533-position model. The record is from RNAcentral.